Dromaius novaehollandiae (emu) is the source of this 4125-nucleotide RNA transcript. It is a transcript of the gene named TAFA chemokine like family member 2, with no coding region annotated. The record is from RefSeq and is a predicted model, not a curated record. NCBI's taxonomy places the organism in Eukaryota, Metazoa, Chordata, Aves, Casuariiformes, Dromaiidae. The transcript is spliced from 7 exons.
CGCCCUCUGGAGGGAGACACAGGCCGGCUCUUGGCUUUCGGCGCCACCGCGUCCCUCUCGCUCCCGCCGCGGCCCCGGCCGCCCCUCUCGGGGGGCCGCGAGCGAGGCCGCCCCACCGCGCCGCCCCCAGCCCGCCGCCCCCUCGCUGCCGGCGCGGCGCGGCGCGGCGCGGCGCGGCGCGGCUCCCCCGCGGGGGACGGGGCCUCCCCGCCCGGGCAGCCCGCGGGCACGGCCGGGCCCCGGGGGGCGGCCGGGGGUUCCCCCCCUCCUCAAGCCACGUGUGCCGUCGCCGAAACUUCGCCGCCAGCCCCCGCCCCGCCGCUGGGGGGCCCGGAGACGGCGGCCCGGCCGCGGGGGGAGCUGCUGCCGGCGCCACGGGCCCAGCAGCAGCAGAGGCUGCCGGGGACCUGGUGCCUCGCCAACGGGUUUGGCACGGGAGGAGCGAGCGGCCGGACGGACAGCGCGGAGGCAGCGACCCCCGCCGCCUCGCCGGGACGCGCCCGCCCGCCGCCGGCCCCGCUCCCCGGGCGGCCCUUCCGCCGGCGCGGUGCGCGCAGGCUGCGCGCGGGGCCGCUGCUCCUGAAGGUGAAUCUCUCACUCUCCAAUUACUUUUCCCAAGAGGGAGAAGGAGGCACCAGGAGGGGGGAAGUCGUGCGGUGUCUGAAAGGCAAACCAAUCAGAGAUGCAAUAACGGGGGGACUGCUGCAGGACGCGCCGGGCUUUCCUGCCCUUCCCUGCUGGCGAGGCUGAAUCGGGGCCGCACUCAGCUGCCGGAGGGGCCAGGGCCACACCGGACUGCAGGACUUCCUCGCUCUCCUGGUUUCCGAUAGCUAACCCGUACUUCUUCCUCUCCGAAAAGAUUUUUUUUUUAAUACUCUGAAAUCGUGCACGAGAAACACAUCAAGUCAUCCCUCCCCUUCUCACUCGCUUCACCCCUCCUCUAGCAGCUCCUUGCCGGAUCCCCGGCUGCUUUCCAGAGAGGAGGGGGCAGACGGGCACCCGCAGCCGCCGCCCGAGCCGCUCCAUGCCCCGGGCGCCGGGGCAGCGCGGGGCUCUCGUCGGCGAUGCAGGCGCGGUGAGGCCGGAGCUGCGCCCCGACGUGAGGCGGCGGAUCGCUCGGCGCUUCCAGCGGGGAGCGGGGCUGCAGGAUGAAUAAGAGAUAUUUACAGAAGGCAACAAAAGGAAAACUGCUAAUAAUAAUAUUUGUUGUAACACUGUGGGGGAAGUUAGCAUCUGGUGCAAAUCAUCACAAAGCUCACCAUGUUAAAACUGGGACCUGUGAAGUGGUGGCGCUCCACAGAUGUUGUAAUAAGAACAAGAUAGAAGAAAGGUCACAGACGGUGAAGUGCUCCUGCUUCCCUGGGCAGGUAGCAGGUACCACCCGGGCAGCUCCUUCUUGUGUUGAUGCUUCAAUAGUGGAGCAGAAAUGGUGGUGCCACAUGCAGCCAUGUCUUGAAGGGGAAGAAUGUAAAGUUCUUCCAGAUCGGAAGGGAUGGAGCUGUUCCUCUGGAAAUAAAGUGAAAACAACUAGGUUCUCUUAUAUUCCCUCAGCUGUGACAGUAUUCCUGGAGCCAAAUGUGGGUGCACUACCUCAAAAAAACAGCAGUGGGAGCUGGUAAGAGUGGGGAAAAAUCAUCAGAGGAAUCUCUGAAGCUUGGGACAAAGGCAGAAAACACAUCAGUACUUCACUAACAGAGCAGCAGGUACCCUCAUAGAGAAGAUAAAAUUACAGGCAAACGUGUAAAACUCUUCAAGUCCGAAUGGAGAAGUAAAAAAGGAGGUUUCUGCUGUGCUUGAUGACAAUUUUUGAUUUUUCCACACACACAAAAUAUUCUGGCUCCACGUUGGAGCAGCAAUAGUUGUGAUGAAUCCUAGUCUUGGUCGGAUUCUAAGGAAGGGCCAGACGUUCGUUGAGGAACAAAGAGUCAAACCACUCCAGAAAAUGUGUUCCAGCCCUGGUUUAUUACUCACAGAGCAGCAGGUAACCCGAUAGCUAAAGACAAAUCAAGUCAACCUCAAGGCUGAUAACAUUAAACACAUCACACAGGAAUUUCAUUCCUCCAUGCAAUCCUUGAAGUGAAAUUUUAUACUUCUGGGGUGUAUCCUUCAGAAUCAAUUGUUUCAGUGAGAACCUGGCUUGUAAUCAGCAAAAGCCUUGAGAUCAAAAAUACUGGAAAGUUAUUUUGAACUUCUGUGUCACAAAGAUUUCAACAGAUUGAACUGUGUACACUUGUAAAAUUGCACUUGCGGAAGAAUUUGCAGCUGUAAUCGCAGGAGGUGAUAUUCAAAAGGUGGAGAAAGGCAGCAGUCUUUCAGAUUCUCCAUUCCAGACUGGUGGCUUUUCAUCUUGAUGAAGUCAGCCUCCAAAAUGUACUGGUUCCUUCUCUCUAAAAUGAACCCUGGUGCAGCAUUAAGAAUGCUGGUGGACUGCACACUACUUUAAUUAAAUUUCUGUUGCAGAAAUUGUCCUCUGGCAUGGCACAGUUCUAGACAUUUUUAUUUGUAUUCUAAUCUUGGAGCUCUGAAAGGUACAUAUUUCAACAUCUUGAAGUUACUUUUGUUAUAGGAAUGGAAAUAUAUAUCCAUUGUUAAUAAUUAUUGUUGACAAGUAAUAGUUAUCUGAAUACAUCAGUCAUAUUAGAAUGUAUAGUCAGGCUGACAUGUUUCCCUAAGGCUAACCAACUACUGCAGCUCUUUGGCAGUUAAAAAAGUAGUGGUCAAAACUCAAUUACCAUUUCCAUUAUAAGGCAUUUUAUACCUUUAAGAUAUACAUUUCCAUUUAGUUUGAAGGAGAUGGGUGUUCCUGCUCUAUACUUUACUCUCCUAGCCUUUAAUUCUUUGAAAUUCAUGGUAAGCACUCAAUGACACUAUUUUAUCCCUUUUUAUAAAGGUAGGCAGGGAUGUAUAUGAGUUUUGCAAUUCUGAAAUUGGAUGGUACUCAUUCAGAUUGUUUUUAUUAAAAAAUAAAAUCUCUUGCUUGAACCCAAGUACUGUUGGAUGCUUAUGUAGAUGUCUGCUCAUUCUAUUUGCUAUAAAGGAAAAAGCACUUACAAUCAUCCAAUUCAGAUCUUCUGAUCCUUGCCAAAAUCAUUAUCUCAUGACAACAUUUACUUUUUAUUUUCUAUUUCAGUAGCAAUUUUUUGAACUUUGUGAUGUGCUGUUCCAUGAAAAAAAUCUUCAAUAUUUAAAGGCCUUAAGCAUCUAUGAGCUUUUUUCUAAGUUAUUACAGAAUGUAUAAUUUUAUAGUCCAUUUAAUGUAUAUUGUACCAUCUGUAAUAUUGAUACAACAGAGAGCUGGCAAUUCCUUUUAGUGACACUGCAUAAGCAUGCUGACUGGAGAGGGUGAGAGGGUUCUGACUGUCUGCUUUGGUGCACUGAAAUGAAAACCACGCACACUUGUUGGUAGUCAAAAAUACAUAGGGGCAAACUUAUCUAAAUGUCCUGUGUGGUUACCAGACUCUCAGAGAAAGAGGGAAACCCUUUUAUCAUUGCAAGCCAUUGACAUGGUUAGGUAGUUAUAAAAUAAGUUCCAUGAUGGAUGAACACCCUGGAGUGCUCUGUCUGUCACAGUAUCCCCUGCUGUUCCAAAACCAUUUCAUUACCUCUGCUGUAUUAUUGCACAGGAGAGCUUAAAAUAAAUGAUUGCUGGGAAUAAAAUUGAGAUGUAUAUUUUAUCAUUCUGCUGAGGAAUAAUCAAAGAUGUUGGCAGAGAAAGAUAUUCUUUUCUGAUUAAAAUUUAAUUAGGAUAAACUGUAGCAGCAACUAGGUAUCUCAGUAUUUUAGGAUGGAAUAAUAUUGUAUGGAUUUGUGCUAACAGGUGGGAGAGAAGGUAGCAUCUUAAAGAGAUUCUUCGUUUGGGACAGUGCAAAGUAUAAAUGUGCUAUAUUGUAAAAUCUGAAUAUGGCCUCUCUUUGGUCAAAAAUCUGCAUCAUGCUUCUCAACAUUUUUUUUUUGUUUCUUUGUUCUUAAAAAAACACUGAAAAAACUGUAUUAUAUACAAGUGUAACACAUGCAUAUCAAUAAGUGAAAAUAAAUGGAUUUUCAAAUAUACUGAAUAGAUUAUCUGCAGUAGAUUAAUGUUGUGAAUAUUCAUAACAAGUGAAUAAAAUUGUGAUAUAAAAUAGA